This 854-nucleotide ribosomal RNA is filed under the name uncultured bacterium. RNAcentral's name for it is "bacterial SSU rRNA". It matches the Rfam family "Bacterial small subunit ribosomal RNA", at positions 8 to 853 of the family's 1533-position model. The record is from RNAcentral.
AGAGUUUGAUCCUGGCUCAGAUUGAACGCUGGCGGCAGGCUUAACACAUGCAAGUCGAACGGUAACAGGGAGAAGCUUGCUUCUUUGCUGACGAGUGGCGGACGGGUGAGUAAUGCUUGGGAAUCUGGCUUAUGGAGGGGGAUAACUACGGGAAACUGUAGCUAAUACCGCGUAAUAUCUUCGGAUUAAAGGGUGGGACUUUCGGGCCACCUGCCAUAAGAUGAGCCCAAGUGGGAUUAGGUAGUUGGUGGGGUAAAGGCCUACCAAGCCGACGAUCUCUAGCUGGUCUGAGAGGAUGACCAGCCACACUGGAACUGAGACACGGUCCAGACUCCUACGGGAGGCAGCAGUGGGGAGUAUUGCACAAUGGGGGGAACCCUGAUGCAGCCAUGCCGCGUGAAUGAAGAAGGCCUUCGGGUUGUAAAGUUCUUUCGGUGAUGAGGAAGGUGUUUGUUUUAAUAGAACAAGCAAUUGACGUUAGUCACAGAAGAAGCACCGGCUAACUCCGUGCCAGCAGCCGCGGUAAUACGGAGGGUGCGAGCGUUAAUCGGAAUGACUGGGCGUAAAGGGCACGCAGGCGGUGACUUAAGUGAGAUGUGAAAGCCCCGAGCUUAACUUGGGAAUUGCAUUUCAUACUGGGUCGCUAGAGUAUUUUAGGGAGGGGUAGAAUUCCACGUGUAGCGGUGAAAUGCGUAGAGAUGUGGAGGAAUACCGAAGGCGAAGGCAGCCCCUUGGGAAUAUACUGACGCUCAUGUGCGAAAGCGUGGGGAGCAAACAGGAUUAGAUACCCUGGUAGUCCACGCUGUAAACGCUGUCGAUUUGGGGAUUGGGCUUAGAGCUUGGUGCCCGUAGCU